UUUUUAAAUAGUUCUAACAAAUCACAAAUGUUGCGUAAUGUCACUUGAAAACCACAAGGUUUAUUAAUCUAGUCACUCACAAAGUUGCCAAUAAAACCCAACAUUAUCUAAUCGGGUAACAAGUAUUGUUUGUGCUACGCUGAAACUUUUUUAUCUCCAACUGCAAUAAAUCGUUCGCCACGAGAGCGUUUCAUAUGAAAAUAUCUCGUUUUUUAAAGUCGAAAUUGAGCACCAUGAGGGUGAGGACCAUCAGGACAAGGACUAUGCAGUAUGGCCCAAUGUCUGAUAUCGAAUGAUACACUUUCACCCUGUAGACUUGCACGUGCAUCUAUGCAAGCUGAUUUAAUACCCACGGUCUCAACAAGAGAAACCAGUCAUUCAUUCAGCCCACAGAAUUGUACUUGUUAACGAACUUCAAUAAAUAUUUGGAAUUCGAAAAUCCUAUUUAGAAUAUCUGCUUUCCAAUACUUGUUAGAAAAAGAUGUGGAUAUUUGAAUGUUGAUUGUUAUUUUAAAAAAUACUAAAACAUUCAUAGUAACAGUUGGAUGCUAUGAAAGCUUUUCCUUAUAAAACUUGAAAAAAUUAAGUAUUAUUCUGGGAACACUUCGGUUUGAAAAUCGUUGUUAUAUGAAAAUUGUAAACACUUACUUCUUGUUCUUUCUAAAUUCACAAUCAAACAAAAAAAAAUUGCUAGUAAAUAAGCCAAUCAUUCCUCUGAAACGUUCUUUCUGUAGCCGAUGAACUUUUGCAUGCAGCCCACAUUGAAAUUCGAGUUCAAAACUUUGGAUUUUAAAAGGGAACUGAAUAAUCUGAGUGGAAAUUUAGAAGAUGACGAAUAACCCUGUAUGGGUUGAAUGAGAACAGUCACAGCUAAGCAUUUUUGGAGUCCACACGUAAUGUUUAUUAAUGUUCGUUAUAGGAUUAGAAUAAAUAUUGUAUUUGAAGA
This is a long non-coding RNA of Leptinotarsa decemlineata (Colorado potato beetle), 946 nucleotides long. Lineage: Eukaryota; Metazoa; Arthropoda; Insecta; Coleoptera; Chrysomelidae. The record is from RefSeq and is a predicted model, not a curated record.